UGUUCCUUAUCAUCAUCAUCAUCCAUGGAUCCAUGAAUAAUAACACUAGCACAUGGGAAGUAGCAGCGGCGGCAGGAGAAGGAGCAGAGCUCAGAGAUCCGUGGCAAUAUCGCACUGUCUGUUCACAUCAUCUAAUUAAACCCAGAUUAACAUCGCAACAUUUAAUAUUAUAAAUAAAUGAUGGUAAAAGUAUAAACAGUAGAAAAUAGUAAUAUAGGAAAACCCAUUUGCUAACCAUUUCUGUUUCUCCUGCUUCUGUCAUCUGUUUACAGAUUUAGACAGCACACGCAGAAGAAGAGUGAAGACCAGAACACUUCCUUGGUUCAACAACAAGGAGAAGAUAUAAACUGUUCCUGUUCUAUUUCCAUCUACAGAUGGGAACCCAACAAGGGAAGAUGGCUGGGAUCUGGCACUUCUUCUUCUCCGUCGUCGUCUUCGACCAAGGUGGAGGAGCGGCUGGGGGAGGUAGCAAACGGCAUCCCAAGUAGUAGCAGCAGCAGCACUGUAAUCAAUGUUGUGAUAUUGACACAAUAGGCUCAAUCAAAACUCAUGUUUUUAUUUUUAUUUCUUCCAACCAAGUCAGAUAUAUAGAUCAUUCCUAUUGAAUCUGUAUUAAUCUGUAUGAACUAUGAAGUCAAUCAAAUGGAGUUUCUUCUUCUUUUUCUUCCUUUUUCUUCAAAAAAAUUGAUUUUUAUUUAUUUUUACAUCAAGUUGGAUGUUUUUUCUUCUGAGUUCCAAAUGUAGGAUUGUCAUACAUAGGUUCACAUA
RNAcentral lists this long non-coding RNA (768 nucleotides) under Zostera marina. Its description in RNAcentral is "long non-coding RNA (ZMAR_LNC001191)". Lineage: Eukaryota; Viridiplantae; Streptophyta; Magnoliopsida; Alismatales; Zosteraceae. The record is from RNAcentral.